This 85-nucleotide transfer RNA is filed under the name Dacrycarpus imbricatus. RNAcentral's name for it is "tRNA-Leu". It matches the Rfam family "tRNA". From Rfam's summary of the family: Transfer RNA (tRNA) molecules are approximately 80 nucleotides in length. Their secondary structure includes four short double-helical elements and three loops (D, anti-codon, and T loops). Further hydrogen bonds mediate the characteristic L-shaped molecular structure. tRNAs have two regions of fundamental functional importance: the anti-codon, which is responsible for specific mRNA codon recognition, and the 3' end, to which the tRNAs corresponding amino acid is attached (by aminoacyl-tRNA synthetases). tRNAs cope with the degeneracy of the genetic code in two manners: having more than one tRNA (with a specific anti-codon) for a particular amino acid; and 'wobble' base-pairing, i.e. permitting non-standard base-pairing at the 3rd anti-codon position. Lineage: Eukaryota; Viridiplantae; Streptophyta; Pinopsida; Araucariales; Podocarpaceae. The record is from RNAcentral.
GGGGAUAUGGCGGAAUUGGUAGACGCUACGGACUUAAAUCCGUCGGUUUUUUUAGACCUUGAGGGUUCAAGUCCCUCUAUUCCCA